Molecule: ribosomal RNA, 426 nt
Filed under: Veillonellaceae bacterium oral taxon H35
Lineage: Bacteria; Bacillati; Bacillota; Negativicutes; Veillonellales; Veillonellaceae
Description: bacterial SSU rRNA
Rfam family: Bacterial small subunit ribosomal RNA
Source: RNAcentral
GACGAACGCUGGCGGCGUGCUUAACACAUGCAAGUCGAACGGAGAGAUUUAGUUCGGUAAAUGGCUUAGUGGCAAACGGGUGAGUAACGGGUGGGACCCUGCCCUCAGGAUGGGGAACGGCUCGAAAGAGAGCUAAUACCGAAUGGGUAGAAUCCACAUGGAAGAGAUACUAAGGAUGGGUCAACUAUCGCCUAAGGAUGGGCCUGCGUCUGAUUAGCCAGAGGUGAGGUAAAGGCUCACCAAAGCGAGGAUCAGUAGCCGGUCUGAGAGGAUGAACGGCCACGAUGGGACUGAGACACGGCCCAUACUCCUACGGGAGGCAGCAGUGGGGAAUUUCGCAAUGGGCGAAAGCCUGAGGGAGAACGCCGCGUGAGUGAGGAAGGUCUUCGGAUCGUAAAGCUCUGUGUCGGGGACGAAAGGAAAGGG